CCUUGAUAUUGAGGAGAAGUUAAUAAUGUGUGCGAUGGAUUACCCUUGCAUUUACGAUGUAAAAAUUCCAGAAUAUCGCAAUGCUGAAGUAAAGGCAACUGCAUUCCUCAAAAUUGCCAAAGGAAUAGGAUGUGAUGUUGCUGAAGUAAAACAAAAGUGGACAAAGCUUAAGGAGAAAUACUGUAGAGAGCGUGGCUCAAUCAAAAAGCCAAGUGGAUCUCCUGUGGAUGAGCCGCAUACAUCAAAAUGGGCAUUGUUUGAAUGCAUUUCUUUUUAUGACAAGUAUAUACAGCGAAGAAGUCGAUCUGGGAACUUCCCUUCUACUUUACCAGACUGAUCCGAUUCCACUGGGAGCUAUAUAUCGGUUGAAGAUGUGCAGCUUUCUGAUACUGAGGAUAAGGAAAAUUCUGCAAGCCAUCCUAAUCAAGGACAAUCGAAAGAGACACCCAUAUUGAUGGCAACACCAGCAGCCAAGAAGAUUGUUGCAACACCUACAACACCCCAUAUUGUCCCCAAGGUUAUUGGCCGGCGCAAAACGGAAAUUGCUUCUGGAAACGAAUUAGAACUUCUUAACAAUUUGGGUUCCCUCUUGGAAUCAUGUAAAGACAGUACUCCAACUACAAAUUCAACCUUCAUCACCAUUGAAAAAAGUGUUUGGAAUGCUUAUGGCAUCUCAGUAGGAAAAACCCUUGCUGAGAUGCCAUUACCUAUUGCUCGGCGUGUUCGUCAAAAAAUUGAAAAUGCCGUUUUCACAACGAUGUCGCAAAAGUACUGAUUCGCACAAUUUAUUUGUGCGACAUCGAUGUGAAAAUAGCAUUUUCACAUCGAUGUCGCAACAGUUCUGAUUUGCACAAUUUAUUUCUUGAAAAAAAUCCUAGUUAUGUUUCUCUUCUCUAACUCAGCUCUUUUUACAUAGAAUGUUUAAUGUGAUGGAAUG
Molecule: long non-coding RNA, 937 nt
Organism: Daphnia pulicaria
Lineage: Eukaryota; Metazoa; Arthropoda; Branchiopoda; Diplostraca; Daphniidae
Exons: 5
Source: RefSeq, a predicted model, not a curated record